RNAcentral lists this ribosomal RNA (305 nucleotides) under uncultured bacterium. Its description in RNAcentral is "bacterial SSU rRNA". It matches the Rfam family "Bacterial small subunit ribosomal RNA", at positions 337 to 639 of the family's 1533-position model. The record is from RNAcentral.
GCCUACGGGGCGCAGCAGUGAGGAAUAUUGGUCAAUGGGCGGUAGCCUGAACCAGCCAAGUAGCGUGAAGGAUGAAGGUUCUAUGGAUUGUAAACUUCUUUUAUAAAGGAAUAAAGUGAGGCACGUGUGCCUUUUUGUAUGUACUUUAUGAAUAAGGAUCGGCUAACUCCGUGCCAGCAGCCGCGGUAAUACGGCGGAUCCGCGCGUUAUCCGGAUUUAUUGGGUUUAAAGGGAGCGUAGAUGGGUUGUUAAGUCAGUUGUGAAAGUUUGCGGCUCACCCGUACACUUGCAAUUUAUACUGGCAG